AGCUGACCAGGAAGGUUCCACUUGAUCCUGGGCACCCGUUCUGGGUACAGCAUAGGCUAUUGGCCAACACAUGCUCAGCUGUGCCAAAGAUGAGAGGAGCAGGGCAUGUGCCUCGGGCAGCUCUGGUAGUUUCAUUAAGAUUCCUGUUUGCUGGGUAUGUCGUGGGGAAGCUGAUCAUGGUGUUCCCACCACCACGGCUAGCUGGGAAAGCCUUGUCUCACCUACCUCCAUCUCCUGCUUCCUGGGCACCUGCUUGCGGGAGAGAGAGAGAGCAAUUCAGUGAAAGUGCUGCAGCAAUCUCGGCCUUUGGCACUCUCCUCAGGAAUUUAUGAAGCUUGUGAUGUGAAUGAUGGAGCCAGCUAAGCCUCCUCUGCACUGACAGCUCAGCACAAUGACCUGUUGGGUGAUGAAAGAAAUGCCAGGUGCUUCAGUUUUCUGUUCCACCGAGUGGAUGUGUCCCCCGCCUCUGUCUCUCAGCUUCUGGAGGAAUUGAAGCCUGUGACAUGUUUCGUUCCCAGAUGCUUCUUGCAGCCUCUACCCGACACUGCUUAUGGAAGCUGAGGCUCAGAGAGGGCUCUGGAAUAUUUCAGCCGCUUACAUGUAGCCAUUUUGGUGUGGUUGUGUCAAAAUGACUUUGCCCAGAUGCAAAACCACUGGUAACUUAAACUUCUUUUUUAAGUAGUAUCUCCCAGGGAUCUCUGUAAGCCAUGUCACCCCCACCUGGUCUCUCCCUUUCCUCUUCCUCAACCCUGCCCUGACCCUGACUUACCCAACCCCUGCUUGAUCUUCAUGUGAUGAUGAGGCAGGUGUGGGGAAGAAGAAAGUAUUUGCAUAUUACUUGGUAAUUUUUCAGGAGGUAAAUGUUGGAUGCAUGUGCCUGCUGUUGUUUUGGUUUUAGG
This 899-nucleotide long non-coding RNA is filed under the name Homo sapiens (human). Its description in RNAcentral is "HSALNT0031156". The record is from RNAcentral. Lineage: Eukaryota; Metazoa; Chordata; Mammalia; Primates; Hominidae.